RNAcentral lists this transfer RNA (68 nucleotides) under Marmota monax (woodchuck). RNAcentral's name for it is "tRNA.Val". Lineage: Eukaryota; Metazoa; Chordata; Mammalia; Rodentia; Sciuridae. The record is from RNAcentral.
GGAUUGUGGCUCAGUGGGAGUGUACUUGUCUUACAUGCAUGGGGCACUGGGUUCGAUCCUCAGCACCA